Molecule: long non-coding RNA, 529 nt
Organism: Lathyrus oleraceus (garden pea)
Lineage: Eukaryota; Viridiplantae; Streptophyta; Magnoliopsida; Fabales; Fabaceae
Exons: 2
Source: RefSeq, a predicted model, not a curated record
CGAGAAAACAAGAGGAUAAGAACUAAAAAGGAAAAGAGGAGUUUUUAGAUAAGAAGAAAAGGAAAUGUGGAAAGAAGAAAAAAAGUGAGAAAGAGGAAGAGAAAGAGAAGAAAAAAAAGAAAGAGGUAAAGAAGAGAAAAGAGGAAGGAAGGAAGAAGAGAUUCAUCAUCUCUAUUAUAUCAUCAUCAUCUUCACAAAUUUCAUCUCAAUUUCAAUUUCUUCAUCAUCACUUUGGAUUAAGGUUUUGGUUGCAGGUUUAGUAUACAAGAAGAGUUGUGCAUUGAUGUUUCAAGGGAUGCAGUUAUUGUGAUUUUUCGUUGUUAAUCUUGUACAAUGACGAAUAUUGUACUUAGAUUUUUAUUUUUGGCACUUUCCAUAUCUUGUACCAUAUGUUGUAUGUUUUUUUGUAUAAUUGGUCAAGUAUGUAAAUGAUGCCAAUAAGCACUUAUGAUUAUGCCAGUACCAAAUAAUAACACUUGUAUGAUAUUAUUCUAAAUAUAUAUUAUACGGAUCGUUACAGUUGGUAUCA